RNAcentral lists this ribosomal RNA (285 nucleotides) under Escherichia coli. RNAcentral describes it as "partial 16S ribosomal RNA". It matches the Rfam family "Bacterial small subunit ribosomal RNA", at positions 1 to 282 of the family's 1533-position model. RNAcentral also lists the same sequence under 2 other names. The record is from RNAcentral. Lineage: Bacteria; Pseudomonadati; Pseudomonadota; Gammaproteobacteria; Enterobacterales; Enterobacteriaceae.
AAAUUGAAGAGUUUGAUCAUGGCUCAGAUUGAACGCUGGCGGCAGGCCUAACACAUGCAAGUCGAACGGUAACAGGAAACAGCUUGCUGUUUCGCUGACGAGUGGCGGACGGGUGAGUAAUGUCUGGGAAACUGCCUGAUGGAGGGGGAUAACUACUGGAAACGGUAGCUAAUACCGCAUAACGUCGCAAGACCAAAGAGGGGGACCUUCGGGCCUCUUGCCAUCGGAUGUGCCCAGAUGGGAUUAGCUAGUAGGUGGGGUAACGGCUCACCUAGGCGACGAUCC